GGGGGAAACCCUGAUGCAGCGACGCCGCGUGAAGGAUGAAGUAUUUCGGUAUGUAAACUUCUAUCAGCAGGGAAGAAAAUGACGGUACCUGACUAAGAAGCCCCGGCUAACUACGUGCCAGCAGCCGCGGUAAUACGUAGGGGGCAAGCGUUAUCCGGAUUUACUGGGUGUAAAGGGAGCGUAGACGGCAGUGCAAGUCUGAAGUGAAAGCCCGGGGCUCAACCCCGGGACUGCUUUGGAAACUGUGCAGCUAGAGUGUCGGAGAGGCAAGCGGAAUUCCUAGUGUAGCGGUGAAAUGCGUAGAUAUUAGGAGGAACACC
This 320-nucleotide ribosomal RNA is filed under the name uncultured bacterium. Its description in RNAcentral is "bacterial SSU rRNA". It matches the Rfam family "Bacterial small subunit ribosomal RNA", at positions 373 to 710 of the family's 1533-position model. The record is from RNAcentral.